AGAGCAAAAGAGUUUUAGGGUUUGCGUUGUUCAUACCGGAAGCUUCAAAGAUGAUCGAGGUAGUGUUGAACGAUCGAUUGGGGAAGAAAGUGAAGGUGAAGUGCAACGAAGAUGAUACGAUUGGUGAUUUGAAGAAGCUGGUUGCUGCACAGACGGGUACACGCGCCGAUAAGAUACGUAUUCAGAAGUGGUAUAAUGUGUACAAAGAUCAUAUUACCCUCAAGGACUACGAAAUUCAUGAUGGAAUGGGACUUGAACUCUACUACAACUAGAAUAAAAUGUUUAUCAUGUGAUGGAAAUACACUGGUGGACGUAUCUCAGCUGCCAUGUUUUAAAUAAAAGAUUGAUUGUUGGCUUGUAAUGUAAAGUUUGACAUGUUAAAUCAACUUGAAGGAAAAUGCUCAACUCUUGUGAAUGGCAUGUGUCUGGUUGGUAUUUUGCCUUGUGGUACAAGGGGUUUACAUAUGCCAUAUGUGCUCUUAGAUUUUCUUAUCAAUUUUAUGAAUUUUGCUGUGAAAUCAUUCCUUCAUAAAAAAAAAUUGAGGGGGGUAUAUGUGCUCUAAAUUACCAAGUUGAGGGGUAUAAUUGCCCUCUAGAACUUGUUAUAAAUGUGUAUUUCUUUAGCAUCCUUAAAG
RNAcentral lists this unclassified non-coding RNA (635 nucleotides) under Hevea brasiliensis (rubber tree). Lineage: Eukaryota; Viridiplantae; Streptophyta; Magnoliopsida; Malpighiales; Euphorbiaceae. The record is from RNAcentral.